Long non-coding RNA from Xiphophorus couchianus (Monterrey platyfish), 1376 nucleotides. RefSeq lists it as uncharacterized. The transcript is spliced from 2 exons. Lineage: Eukaryota; Metazoa; Chordata; Actinopteri; Cyprinodontiformes; Poeciliidae. The record is from RefSeq and is a predicted model, not a curated record.
UUUGGAUCCGGUUUGAAUCCGGUUUGGAUUCGGUUUGGAUUCGGUUUGGAUCCGGUUUGGAUUGGGUUUGGAUCGGGUUUGGAUCCGGCUUGGAUCCGGCUUGGAUCCGGCUUGGAUUCGGUUUGGAUUCGGUUUGGAUCCGGUUUGGAUCCGGUGAAGGUUCGUCCGUCUGCGGCUCAAAGUUCAGAGAAUAAUUCAGGGUUUUUAUCACAAUCACUGAACAUUUAACAUUAUUUUUAGUUCCAGGAUUUAAAAUUUUAUGCUGAAUUUAAACGUUUUUUAAUCUUCGUGGCACUGAUAUUUUUCUGUUUUAAUAUUUCAUAUUUUUUAUAGCUUGAAACAGAAUUUGGACAAAGUUUAACGGAGUCGGUCCGACUGAAUUUAAACCGAAACAAAUCAAAUCAAAACAUUUUUUGAGAAACUGCAACACAAAAACAAAAUAAAAUUUUAGAGAAUCUGAAACUAAAGUAUCAAUCUGAUACUGACUUGGUAUCAAUAGUAUUGAUAUUUGGGAUCGAUCAGCUCACCUGUAGCUCUUGUUCUGCGGAUCAUAAACCGUUUUAAUUAGCAAUAAAACCAAAUCAGAAAACCGUCGCUGUGUGAAGGCAGAACCAUCUGUAGCUUUUUGUUUUUUUUAAACUUAUACUUUUAUUAUUUUUAUAGAGCGUUAAUACAUCAAUGGUACAUAACACAGAUGUUCCCAUCUGUAGCUUUAAAAACCAAAGCAGUGGAAAAUGUUGAAAUAAAUAUUUAGCAUGUUGUUUACAUUUCUGGGCCAUUUGUAGUUUUUCUGUUAUAUUUCAGUGAAUAUAUUUGUUUAAUAAAUAAUGCUGAUGGUUUUCUAAACAAUUUAGAUUAAAAUAUUUGAAGAGUUGAAGACAUGGCAGCACAAUGACAGGAAACAGACAUUAAUGUUGUUUUUCUCACCUUUCCUGUUUGUUUCCAUGGUAACCACGCCGCUGUACUCUGAAGCUAUAGUACUGAGUUACCUAGAUCUAUAUCCGCUGUGGGCAUUAAAGACGGAAAUAAUAUAUUAUUAAUAAUCAGAAGUUCAGCACGUUAACCUCUGACCUGAUUUUCUAUCAUGAGACGAUUUUUUAUAUUUAUCAACUGAAAAAAAACCCAAUGAAAAUGUAAAAUAUGGUUAAAGUUUAUAUUUGAUGGGUCAUAAAUUAGGUUUGACGGAUUCAGUCACUCGUCAAACGGCGAAUCAGCCGCGUGUUUCUGACGCCUCCAGCUGAUAAACAAGAUUUAUUUUUAUUAACUUUCAGCCUGAACCUGUGAACUGAACGUCAGAUUUAACAGCCAGCAGUUUAUUUUUCUCUUGGUGAAAACAGUUAAAUAUUCCUGAGGAGAAUAAAAUGUGUUUAAAAAGA